Molecule: long non-coding RNA, 2456 nt
Filed under: Mus musculus (house mouse)
Lineage: Eukaryota; Metazoa; Chordata; Mammalia; Rodentia; Muridae
Description: long non-coding RNA chr8:94434408-94436864
Source: RNAcentral
GCGCGGUGGAGAGGGAGCUGAACUGGUGAGUUACCUGCCCAAGCCGGGGCGCGGAGGGAGAUCUGUGCCUAGAGAGAGGAGGGGGUGUCAGGGGCUAGGUGGAUAGACAAACGGACUGAGGGGCCCGGGUGGGUUGGGGUACUGGUGGCUUAGCAAAAUGCAGUCGGACACUGUAAUUUGGGGACCACAGAAAUUGGAGGGAGUGGCUCAGUUUGGGAAAAAACUUUGUAUGUCUGUGCGCCCCCUCUCCUGGUGCCUGCCACACUUGUCAUCCCCCACCCCCAACCAUACUUUCUUCUUGUUUUUUUUUUUUUCUUUUCAAUGCCUUUGCUUUAAUAAUAAUCCAGAAGCCGCCCUGUUUGCUACAUAUAAUUCUGAAUUUUCAGCCAAAACAACAAAACAAACAAACAAACAAACAAAACCCCACCUUUUAUUAGACAGAUAGAAUUUGGCUGAACCGUAGCAACUUGCUGUUCUAUAGAGGAAAGCUGCGUUCUCUAAGAGUUGCCAACCUCAGGUCGGUGGCUUCUGGCUACCAACAUUGUGUUGGAACAAAUACUAGAUAUUAAGGAAUGUACAAAAAGACAGGGAUCUUUAAAAACAAAAACAAAAACAAAACAGAAUAUUGUGUUUUAAAAGAGAACGAUGUUUCUUGAAUGUCCAUCACCUGUAUUUCUAAUGAUCAUUGAAACUUUCCAGUCACAAGGGUAAGCCUGGGCAGCCUUUUGUCCCUGGCCUACCACAAUGCCACGUGGGGUUUAAACCAUUUUUUUUCCACUCAGAAAAGCUGAGCUGGGAGCUCUGGGAGGUUCCUGGAGAAUUCUGGGUCUUCAGUACUAUUGGUAUAUAUUGUCAGGAUUCUUCUGAAAAGGGCGGGAGGGGCUUCAUACAGAAAAGGUAUUUUGAAAAUUGACCUUCAUGAUUGGGGGAAAAGGCUAGAAAAUGACCAAAGGUGGGUGUAGCUGAGCCAUACCUGCAGCUUUCUCUUCCUGAAUCGCUUUCUUGCAAAGAAAGGAAACCCGGAAACCUGCCAGGUUCCCUCUGGGAUGUAGCUCAGAGACAGGGCAGACCCUGGUUUGAGUCCCCGGCGCCACAAAAAUAAGGCACCAGGCCUGAGCUCCCACCAGAGAACAGAGUGGGCGGGAGUGACUGGAAGUUCAUAAGGCCCCUCAUGGUGUACUGUCCACAGACCAGCACCAGCAAUUAUGCCUUGCCUGCCCUGCCUCCAGGACCAGCGCCCAUCUGUCUUGGAAUAGGACCUCUGGGUGCUCUCAAUACUGUGCAUCAUGACCAUGAGUUACGAUUUCAGAUCUUGGAAGGUUGGUUCCCCAUCUAUAGUACAGACAUUAUGUUCAAAAUUUAUCUCCUGAAUCGAGUGAGACGAAAUAGAAACAAUGCCUCGGCCACAAGUGUGAGGAGCCUGGGGUCCUGAUGGGACAAAUGCCGAAGCUAAGGGAACGCCUUAGUGCCUUAGUCUGCUUAGUCCGGUCUGCCCAGAAAGCACAGGUUGGCCUGAUCUCAGAAGCUAAGUAUGCUUAGGCCUAGUAAGCACUUGGUUGGGAAAGUCUGCCUAGACCUGUUCCCGGACCAGCCCGAGGAUAGCAGUACCUGGUCAAUGUCUAUGUGCUCUCUCUCUCUCUCUCUCUCUCUCUCUCUCUCUCUCUCUCUCUCUCUCUCUCUCUCUUUCUCUCUUCCCUCUAGAAAGAGUUCAACAAAACUCUGUAGAUUCUCUUCUCCCAUAUUUUGUGCUGUGUGUUGGGUAAAGAAGACAUCCCCACUGCCUCUGAACGUGACCUUAUUUGGACACAGGGUGACUGCAGACACUUAAGAUGAGGUUGUAGGGUGGGCCCAGUAAGACUUCUGCCCACUAAUAGAGGCGAUCAGCAUAUCCACAUAGAUACCUCAGGAAGGCGGCCAUCUUGGGGAGGCAGAGACUGCAACUACAAGCUGAAAGACAAAAAUCCCAGCAACCAAAGUGUCCCAAUCGGAAAGAGGAAGGCCCCUUUACUAGCAUCCUCAGAGGAUGCAGACUGCAGAGAAUAAAAAAAUAAAAAGCCAUUUCUGCCAGCGCUUGAUGGAACUUUUGUUUUUUUAACCACAUCUGAUACAUCAUCCCAGCAUCUCUCCUCUACCACCAGCAGAGAAUUGUGGCAAAAGAGAUGCAAACACUUAAGUGUUGGGGGAAGGCACGGCUGAGAGGGCAAGAGAUCUGCCUAGCUUCAGAAGAUUCUGGGUUCUAUCCUUACUACAGAAGACAAGCAAAAACCUCUUUGUAGGUGUUCUCAGGAUGCAAAGCAUCGUCUCUCUUCACCAAAUAUGUUUCUGUGAGUGUAGUUGAUAGCCUUUAAUGCUAGCACUUGGGAGGCAGAGGCAGGUGGAUUUGGGAGUUCGAGGCCAGCCUGAUCAACAGAGUGAGUUCCAGGACAACCAGGGCUACACAGAGAAACUCUGUCUCG